This is a long non-coding RNA of Pongo pygmaeus (Bornean orangutan), 517 nucleotides long. RefSeq lists it as uncharacterized. The transcript is spliced from 3 exons. Lineage: Eukaryota; Metazoa; Chordata; Mammalia; Primates; Hominidae. The record is from RefSeq and is a predicted model, not a curated record.
CCACUAAGGCGGGUCUGAGGCACUGGGGACCAAGCUGAAGUUACCCUUUGCCAUGCUUAGCUUAGACCCCAGUUUGAACAGCAACUCAAUUGACCAUUAUCUGGCACCUACUAUGCACAAAGCAUGAUGCUGGUCACACUCAACAUCCUCCGUUCCUCUCUACUGAAAUUUCAGGAGUGAAGUUUCCCACCUUAAAUGAUUCCCAAGGAGUCGUGUCCAGCCUGGCCUCCCAGAUUUGAGCAAUCUUUCACUGUCAAGAAAGGCUGGGAGAUUGAUUCAAUUAAGAUUAGCAGAGUCGGAAAAAUGGCGUGGAGUGCUGGGAUUACAGGCAUGAGCCACUGCACCUGGCCUAGGAAUCCCAGUCUUUAAGAGGCUGCCAUAUGAGGACACAGCAAGAAGACACCAACUACAAGAGGAGAAGAAAAGACUUCAACAGAAACCAACCCUGCUAGCACCUUGAUCUCUGGCUUCCAGCCUCCAGCACCAUGAGAAAAUAAAUUUCUAUGUUUGAAGCCUC